UACGAAGGGGGCUAGCGUUGUUCGGAAUCACUGGGCGUAAAGCGCACGUAGGCGGACUUUCAAGUCAGGGGUGAAAUCCCGGGGCUCAACCUCGGAAUUGCCUUUGAUACUGUAGGUCUCGAGUCCGGAAGAGGCGAGUGGAAUUCCCGGUGUAGCGGUGAAAUGCGCAGAUAUCGGGAGGAACACCAAUGGCGAAGGCAGCUCGCUGGGACGUUACUGACGCUGAGACGCGAAAGCGUGGGGAGCAAACAGG
Molecule: ribosomal RNA, 253 nt
Filed under: uncultured bacterium
Lineage: Bacteria
Description: partial 16S ribosomal RNA
Rfam family: Bacterial small subunit ribosomal RNA
Source: RNAcentral